UACAUUUUGGUGUAAGAAGCACAAGAAUUUUUGAUAUUCUGGGAAUUAGUUUAAUUCUAUUGAAUGUAA
RNAcentral lists this transfer RNA (69 nucleotides) under Phoetalia pallida. RNAcentral describes it as "tRNA-Gln". The record is from RNAcentral. Lineage: Eukaryota; Metazoa; Arthropoda; Insecta; Blattodea; Blaberidae.